CCUACGGGAGGCAGCAGUGGGGAAUUUUGGAUAAUGGGCGCAAGCCUGAUCCAGCCAUGCCGCGUGAGUGAAGAAGGCCUUCGGGUUGUAAAGCUCUUUCGGCGGGGAAGAAAUCGCACCGGUUAAUACCCGGGGUGGAUGACGGUACCCGAAUAAGAAGCACCGGCUAACUACGUGCCAGCAGCCGCGGUAAUACGUAGGGUGCGAGCGUUAAUCGGAAUUACUGGGCGUAAAGCGUGCGCAGGCGGUUUUGUAAGUCAGAUGUGAAAUCCCCGGGCUCAACCUGGGAACUGCAUUUGAGACUGCAAGGCUAGAGUGUGGCAGAGGGGGGUAGAAUUCCACGUGUAGCAGUGAAAUGCGUAGAGAUGUGGAGGAAUACCGAUGGCGAAGGCAGCCCCCUGGGCCAAUACUGACGCUCAUGCACGAAAGCGUGGGGAGCAAACAGGAUUAGAUACCCUGGUAGUCCACGCCCUAAACGAUGUCAACUAGGUGUUGGAAGGGUUAAACCUUUUAGUGCCGUAGCUAACGCGUGAAGUUGACCGCCUGGGGAGUACGGCCGCAAGGCUAAAACUCAAAGGAAUUGACGGGGACCCGCACAAGCGGUGGAUGAUGUGGAUUAAUUCGAUGCAACGCGAAAAACCUUACCUACCCUUGACAUGUCAGGAAUCCCGGAGAGAUUUGGGAGUGCUCGAAAGAGAGCCUGAACACAGGUGCUGCAUGGCUGUCGUCAGCUCGUGUCGUGAGAUGUUGGGUUAAGUCCCGCAACGAGCGCAACCCUUGUCAUUAAUUGCCAUCAUUCAGUUGGGCACUUUAAUGAGACUGCCGGUGACAAACCGGAGGAAGGUGGGGAUGACGUCAAGUCCUCAUGGCCCUUAUGGGUAGGGCUUCACACGUCAUACAAUGGUCGGUCCAGAGGGUUGCCAACCCGCGAGGGGGAGCUAAUCUCAGAAAGCCGAUCGUAGUCCGGAUUGGAGUCUGCAACUCGACUCCACGAAGUSGGAAUCGCUAGYAAUCGCGGAUCAGCAUGUCGCCGUGAAUACGUUCCCGGGCCUUGUACACUCCGCC
RNAcentral lists this ribosomal RNA (1065 nucleotides) under uncultured Alphaproteobacteria bacterium. Its description in RNAcentral is "bacterial SSU rRNA". It matches the Rfam family "Bacterial small subunit ribosomal RNA", at positions 338 to 1394 of the family's 1533-position model. Lineage: Bacteria; Pseudomonadati; Pseudomonadota; Alphaproteobacteria. The record is from RNAcentral.